Long non-coding RNA from Dreissena polymorpha, 255 nucleotides. RefSeq lists it as uncharacterized. NCBI's taxonomy places the organism in Eukaryota, Metazoa, Mollusca, Bivalvia, Myida, Dreissenidae. The record is from RefSeq and is a predicted model, not a curated record. The transcript has 3 exons.
UGUUCACCGUAUGUUUGCGAGUUCCUUUGGAAUAAAUUGUCAAUCAAUCCUGACAAUAAUUUCUUCAAUUGAAGGAUCGUAGUUAAAAUCAGGUUGGACCAAACUACUUCAAGACUGCGAAAAAAUGUGAAGUCUUUGGUGUUUGCUGUGAAGGUACAGGAAAACAGGUGUUUUACUUGGCGAAUGAGGGUGAAUCACCCAGGAGGUGCCAACACUGUUGUUAGCUAUGUGCAUUACUAGCUUACUCACUAUGGC